GGUGGAUCCUGGGCGACGCUGGAGGACCUCCGGAUGGGUCAGAAAGCCUGGUGGAGGCCGCAUGGCUGGUAUUUGGCUGGAAGUGGCCCCUGGACUCCUGGACCAUGUCUUAAGUACCUGGGAGGCAGAGCUAAGGAAGACAACCCGCAAACCAGUGGUGGGUUGCCCC
Non-coding RNA from Pantherophis guttatus, 169 nucleotides. The record is from RefSeq and is a predicted model, not a curated record. NCBI's taxonomy places the organism in Eukaryota, Metazoa, Chordata, Lepidosauria, Squamata, Colubridae.